This 291-nucleotide ribosomal RNA is filed under the name uncultured eukaryote. RNAcentral describes it as "partial 18S ribosomal RNA". It matches the Rfam family "Eukaryotic small subunit ribosomal RNA", at positions 6 to 311 of the family's 1831-position model. The record is from RNAcentral.
GGUUGAUCCUGCCAGUAGUCAUAUGCUUGUCUCAAAGAUUAAGCCAUGCAUGUCUAAGUAUAAGCGAAUAUACAGUGAAACUGCGAAUGGCUCAUUAAAUCAGUUAUCGUUUAUUUGAUAGUACCUUGCUAAUUGGCAUACGCCUGGCAAUUCUAGAGCUAAUACAUGCACACAAGCCCAACUCACGGAGGGCUGUAUUUAUUAGAUAAAAAAUCAACAUCCAAGAUGAUUCAUAAUAACUUUUCGAAUCGCAUGGCCCCGCGCCGGCGAUGGUUCAUUCAAAUUUCUGCC